AUGGACGGGGAGGAGGAGAACCCGGGGCCCUUCCGCCGCACGAGCUCGCGGACGCGGCGUAUGGCCUCCCGCAUGGCCUCCGCCCUCUCCAGCUCCGACAACCGCGCUCAGGCUGCUUUGGCUCGUCUUGAUGCGCUUGAGAGUGAUAAUGCUGGGGUUGAGGUGGUGGAUCUCAACGAUGAUGAGUAUGGAUCUACAGAUGGGGAGGACCAUGUUUUGAUGCAAAAGAAGCAGUCAAAGAACAUGAAACGCAAGACAAGGCAAGGAAAAGCUUUGGAGAAAAGGGCGGUAAGAUCUUUCAUGGAUGUUUUACAAGAGGCAAAUCUGGAGGCCUUGCCACCUCAUGUCCCAACAUAUCUGAGGGCUGCUGUGGGUCCACCGAGCACUUCAUCCCGUCGCCAUUACUGCUCUGUUUGUGGGAAUUCUUCAAAUUACACAUGCCCCAGGUGUGGAACACGGUUCUGUUCUUGCCGCUGCCAAGUCAUACACAAUGACACUCGCUGCCUGAAAUUUGUGGCUUGA
This 522-nucleotide ribosomal RNA is filed under the name Triticum aestivum (bread wheat). RNAcentral's name for it is "partial small subunit ribosomal RNA". The record is from RNAcentral. Lineage: Eukaryota; Viridiplantae; Streptophyta; Magnoliopsida; Poales; Poaceae.